This 77-nucleotide transfer RNA is filed under the name Klebsiella pneumoniae. RNAcentral's name for it is "tRNA-Ile". It matches the Rfam family "tRNA". Rfam says of the family: Transfer RNA (tRNA) molecules are approximately 80 nucleotides in length. Their secondary structure includes four short double-helical elements and three loops (D, anti-codon, and T loops). RNAcentral also lists the same sequence under 110 other names. Lineage: Bacteria; Pseudomonadati; Pseudomonadota; Gammaproteobacteria; Enterobacterales; Enterobacteriaceae. The record is from RNAcentral.
GGGUCUGUAGCUCAGCUGGUUAGAGCACCGUCUUGAUAAGGCGGGGGUCGUUGGUUCGAACCCAACCAGACCCACCA